RNAcentral lists this microRNA precursor (102 nucleotides) under Canis lupus familiaris (dog). Its description in RNAcentral is "mir-8834 microRNA precursor family". It matches the Rfam family "mir-8834 microRNA precursor family". The record is from Rfam by way of RNAcentral. Lineage: Eukaryota; Metazoa; Chordata; Mammalia; Carnivora; Canidae. RNAcentral also lists the same sequence under 1 other name.
AGGAACAACAGUGGUGGCAGCCAGCUCUCCAGCUCUGGACUCAGCUCCGGCAGGAACUAUGGCAGCUCCCCGUCCGCAAGGGCCUGGAUGCUCCAGAGGUGG